GUGGGGAAUUUUGGACAAUGGGCGCAAGCCUGAUCCAGCAAUGCCGCGUGCAGGAAGAAGGCCUUCGGGUUGUAAACUGCUUUUGUACGGAACGAAACGGUCCUGGCUAAUACCUGGGGCUAAUGACGGUACCGUAAGAAUAAGCACCGGCUAACUACGUGCCAGCAGCCGCGGUAAUACGUAGGGUGCAAGCGUUAAUCGGAAUUACUGGGCGUAAAGCGUGCGCAGGCGGUUUUGUAAGACAGGCGUGAAAUCCCCGGGCUCAACCUGGGAAUUGCGCUUGUGACUGGAAGGCUGGAGUGCGGCAGAGGGGGAUGGAAUUCCGCGUGUAGCAGUGAAAUGCGUAGAUAUGCGGAGGAACACCGAUGGCGAAGGCAAUCCCCUGGGCCUGCACUGACGCUCAUGCACGAAAGCGUGGGGAGCAAACAGGAUUAGAAACCCGGGUAGUCC
RNAcentral lists this ribosomal RNA (450 nucleotides) under uncultured bacterium. RNAcentral describes it as "partial 16S ribosomal RNA". It matches the Rfam family "Bacterial small subunit ribosomal RNA", at positions 354 to 796 of the family's 1533-position model. The record is from RNAcentral.